UACGGGGGGGGCAAGCGUUGUUCGGAAUUACUGGGCGUAAAGGGCUCGUAGGUGGCCAACUAAGUCAGACGUGAAAUCCCCAGGCUCAACUUGGGAACUGCGUCUGAUACUGGAUGGCUUGAAUUCGGGAGAGGGAUGCAGAAUUCCAGGUGUAGCGGUGAAAUGCGUAGAUAUCUGGAGGAAUACCGGUGGCGAAGGCGGCAUCCUGGACCGAGAUUGACACUGAUGAGCGGAAGCUAGGGGAGCAAACGGG
Molecule: ribosomal RNA, 253 nt
Filed under: uncultured bacterium
Lineage: Bacteria
Description: partial 16S ribosomal RNA
Rfam family: Bacterial small subunit ribosomal RNA
Source: RNAcentral